ACAAAAUAGAGAAUUUAAAAAUUAAGUAUAAGUGUUACUGACGCAGACUUCUACAAGUUUGGAUAGGAGCUAUCUAGCACAUGCAAUAUAUAGCAAGAACAAGCAGACCUUACAAGUUAAUAGUGUUGUCAAACACAUCGUCCAUGCCAUAAAGAUCAAGUAAUCGUUAUAGCUCAGAUAUUGAUAUUGAUAUCUACUACUGUUUAGGUACCAUAGUUUGUUUUCUCUUCUUAGGACUUCUACUCAUGUAUAAAAGGAUAGGUGAACAAUUGAGAUUGACUUCAGAAAAUAGAAAAAUCUCUUCUAUUUCUUGAGUCAAUGCAUCAUAAGUGCAAGCACACAUGACUUCAGAAAAUAGCAGGACCAUGAGAGCGGCAACGCCGACGAUCUUGAUGGGCAUGCCGGUGACCACCAUGUCCUUUAUGGUGAUGUAGCCGGUGCUGAACCACACCACAACCUGGGUGGAGUGAGAGAACAAAGAUCAACUACCGCCUCAACCCAUAAAUAAAAGAAAAACCAAAUAGAAUUAAAAAGUUAAGUAUGGGUGCUACUGGAGUUGACUACUAUAUAGUGCCAAAACAAACAACUAAUGAGACAACACUCCACACCACCAACUUACCAGUUAGGACCAAGUGGCACUACAAGCUCCAUACAUCCAUCAAUCGAUAUUCUCGCCCUCCACAAGAUCAAACUUCGCGAUAGCUGAGGGUCCAUGCAACUUCCUAGGCACACACACACACACACACACACACACACACACACGCACAAAUAGAGAGAGAGAGCAUGAUUAACUGGUGUCAUCAACCCACAUAACAAAAUAGAGAAUUUAAAAAUUAAGUAUAAGUGCCACUGACGCAGACUUCUACAAGUUUGGAUAGGAGCUAUCUAGCACAUGCAAUAUAUAGCAAGAACAAGCAGACCUUACAAGUUAAUAGUGUUGUCAAACACAUCGUCCAUGCCAUAAAGAUCAAGUAAUCGUUAUAGCUCAGAUAUUGAUAUUGAUAUCUACUACUGUUUAGGUACCAUAGUUUGUUUUCUCUUAUUAGGACUUCUACUCAUGUAUAAAAN
RNAcentral lists this long non-coding RNA (1068 nucleotides) under Hordeum vulgare. RNAcentral describes it as "long non-coding RNA (HVUL_LNC018845)". Lineage: Eukaryota; Viridiplantae; Streptophyta; Magnoliopsida; Poales; Poaceae. The record is from RNAcentral.